AUGAAAUUUACUUUACAAUGACUCAUGGGCCCACAAGGAACAAAAGUGCACAAAGGCAGUAAACCUACAGUUUUUGGAGUAGUAAAGUCGACUAUAAUCCUUGACGAUAUCUGCUAUCCACAGGCUACCUCAGGCCUGAAAUGGUUGAAAAUGAGGGCGGUGAGAUUAUAAAUCCCAGUGAGUAAAUACAUAUCAUCUAAACCAUCUAAAGUUGAGUAAAUGGAGAUAGAUAAAAUAGUUUAACAUACUGAAAUUCAUCACCUUUUAACUUGUUUCAACCAAAUAAAAUCAAUUCAUAUAAAUCGAGUAAUUAACAUGGCUUAUGAAUUUUUUAAAACUUUGGCUCGUGCCAAAAUCAGUAUCAUACUCAAUCAUCAGGGAUACCUUGGCCGAGGGCUAUCCCAAACUGAGUCCGCCAAGGCUGUUAAAAAGUUAUGUACGCAUAAAUCAUGUUUUUAUUUUGAAAACAUAGCCGUUUCUUGGCGUUGGCCGAGUUCACCCUCACGUGGUGGUUGGGCGUGAAGUGAACUCUAAAGUUUGACCUCGGGAGUUACCCUACGCGCCUCUCUAAUUGAGGUACAUAUAUAUGACCAGGUUCCGUGCCCCUCUAAUAGGUUGGUCUACAGAACCAGCCCACUGCAACAAGCUAAACCCACCAUACAAUAAAAAUUCAACAACAUGAUAUGGCAAUUUUAUCAUUAUCCAGCUUAUCAAGGAAAACAACAGUUUAUACAUUUCAACACAAAUACCAAUUCAGCCAUUCAUGCAAAUAUUGUCAUAAGCCAAUAAAUUAAAACCAUAAAUUCACAAUACAUCAAAUGGUCUCCAAUUACUCUAUUUUCAAAGCCUUCAUUCAAUUUCAAGACCAUUUAUGAAAUCAUUUUGUUUAAACACAUUUUGUUUAUAAAACCUAAAAAUUUACCAUUUAAACUCAUUGUCCAUUAAAUCAAAAAAACAAAUAAAAACCACUCUAGAUAAUUAAGACGAUAGUAAGGUUACUCAUAGUACUAGGAGUUCGAUAUACUCCUAUUCCCGAUCUUCAGGCACAAUCUCUUUACUCUUGUUAGAGGGCUCACCACCUAUACAUCAUACGUGACACGAAUUUCAAUAAAUUGUGUCAAUUUAUCAUAAACUAUUUCAGGCUCUAUAAAUCUAUAUGAAUGCACGAAAUGUGAUGCAAAAUGUUCGAAUAACCACUUAAAUACGGUAUUCGACCUAAAUCGCACUAUUCUCGGUGUAAUUGGCUAAAACCUCCAAUUUAACUCCAAAUAGAUUUCUUUCACUUUCUACACUCCAAUUAUACUUAAAAUACCUCAAUGACUGUGAAUAUGAUUCAAUUUAUCAGUCCGAACCACAAAUCGCACAUGUCUAUACAUUAGGUAAAAAUUCAGAUUUUCAUGGCAAAAUUUCUCAUUAAAUUUCUAGCCUCACCAAUCAUUAAAUACCACCAAAAUAUCAUUAAAUAUCAUCAAUAUCAGCCUCAAUAUCCUCCCUAAAAAUUUGGCCUCUUGUGGGUUUGUGAAGAACAAAGUGAUUCCUUGCCAGAUUUUCAUACUUUCCAUUACCAAACAACCAAAAACACUUAAUUAGCUUGAAAUCUAGCAAAAUCAAUGCUCAAAACCUCUCCUCUCAAAUUCGGCCAGCAUGGGUUCAUCAUGCAAACUUGAGUUCUAAGCAUGGAAAAUGAAAAAGAAAGCAUGGGUAGUGUAAAUCACAAGAUAAAAUCACAAAAUUUUACCUUUAUUAGCUUAAUCCCUUGAAAUCCCACACUUUUUCUUCAAUUUUCCCACCUAGGGUUUGUGUUCUUUCCUUUCCUCUUCACUUCAUGCUUUGG
RNAcentral lists this long non-coding RNA (1834 nucleotides) under Theobroma cacao (cacao). RNAcentral describes it as "long non-coding RNA (TCAC_LNC004823)". Lineage: Eukaryota; Viridiplantae; Streptophyta; Magnoliopsida; Malvales; Malvaceae. The record is from RNAcentral.